Molecule: non-coding RNA, 72 nt
Organism: Phrynosoma platyrhinos (Desert horned lizard)
Lineage: Eukaryota; Metazoa; Chordata; Lepidosauria; Squamata; Phrynosomatidae
Source: the annotation of a GenBank genome assembly
AGCAGCGUGGCUUAGUGGUCUGAGCAUUGGAUUAGGACUCUGAAGACCAGGAUUUGACUCCUGACUCAGCUA